This 77-nucleotide transfer RNA is filed under the name Gammaproteobacteria bacterium 42_54_T18. RNAcentral describes it as "tRNA-Val". It matches the Rfam family "tRNA". Rfam says of the family: Transfer RNA (tRNA) molecules are approximately 80 nucleotides in length. Their secondary structure includes four short double-helical elements and three loops (D, anti-codon, and T loops). Lineage: Bacteria; Pseudomonadati; Pseudomonadota; Gammaproteobacteria. The record is from RNAcentral. RNAcentral also lists the same sequence under 6 other names.
AGGCACGUAGCUCAGCUGGUUAGAGCACCACCUUGACAUGGUGGGGGUCGUUGGUUCGAAUCCAAUCGUGCCUACCA